UACGUAGGGUGCAAGCGUUAAUCGGAAUUACUGGGCGUAAAGCGUGCGCAGGCGGUUAUGCAAGACAGAGGUGAAAUCCCCGGGCUCAACCUGGGAACUGCCUUUGUGACUGCAUAGCUAGAGUACGGUAGAGGGGGAUGGAAUUCCGCGUGUAGCAGUGAAAUGCGUAGAUAUGCGGAGGAACACCGAUGGCGAAGGCAAUCCCCUGGACCUGUACUGACGCUCAUGCACGAAAGCGUGGGGAGCAAACAGGAUUAGAACCG
This 263-nucleotide ribosomal RNA is filed under the name uncultured bacterium. Its description in RNAcentral is "partial 16S ribosomal RNA". It matches the Rfam family "Bacterial small subunit ribosomal RNA", at positions 524 to 788 of the family's 1533-position model. The record is from RNAcentral.